GAUGAACGCUAGCUACAGGCUUAACACAUGCAAGUCGAGGGGCAGCAUGGGGUUUGCUUGCAAACCCUGAUGGCGACCGGCGCACGGGUGAGUAACGCGUAUCCAACCUGCCUGUCACUCGGGAACAGCCCGGUGAAAACCGGAUUAAUGCCCGAUGGCGUCCUUUGAUGGCAUCAGACGAGGACUAAAGCGGCGACGCGGUGACGGAUGGGGAUGCGUCCGAUUAGGUUGUUGGCGGGGUAACGGCCCACCAAGCCGUCGAUCGGUAGGGGUUCUGAGAGGAAGGUCCCCCACAUUGGAACUGAGACACGGUCCAAACUCCUACGGGAGGCAGCAGUGAGGAAUAUUGGUCAAUGGGCGCGAGCCUGAACCAGCCAAGUAGCGUGCAGGACGACGGCCCUACGGGUUGUAAACUGCUUUUAUGCGGGAACAAAGGUUGCGACGCGUCGCAUGUUGCGUGUACCGUAUGAAUAAGGACCGGCUAAUUCCGUGCCAGCAGCCGCGGUAAUACGGAAGGUCCGGGCGUUAUCCGGAUUUAUUGGGUUUAAAGGGAGCGUAGGCCGGGGGUUAAGCGUGCUGUGAAAUGUAGUUGCUCAACAUCUGCACUGCAGCGCGAACUGUCCCUCUUGAGUGCGCGGAAAGCCGGCGGAAUUCGUUGUGUAGCGGUGAAAUGCUUAGAUAUGACGAAGAACUCCGAUUGCGAAGGCAGCCGGCUGUAGCGUUACUGACGCUGAAGCUCGAAAGCGUGGGUAUCGAACAGGAUUAGAUACCCUGGUAGUCCACGCGGUAAACGAUGGAUGCUCGCUGUCGGCCUUUCAUGGUCGGUGGCCAAGCGAAAGCAUUAAGCAUCCCACCUGGGGAGUACGCCGGCAACGGUGAAACUCAAAGGAAUUGACGGGGGCCCGCACAAGCGGAGGAACAUGUGGUUUAAUUCGAUGAUACGCGAGGAACCUUACCCGGGCUUGAACUGCAGGGGGACGAUCCGGAGACGGUGAGGUCAGCAAUGACUCCUGCGGAGGUGCUGCAUGGUUGUCGUCAGCUCGUGCCGUGAGGUGUCGGCUUAAGUGCCAUAACGAGCGCAACCCCUUUCGCCAGUUGCCAUCAGGUUUUGCUGGGCACUCUGGCGACACUGCCACCGCAAGGUGCGAGGAAGGUGGGGAUGACGUCAAAUCAGCACGGCCCUUACGUCCGGGGCUACACACGUGUUACAAUGGCGGUCACAGAGGGAAGCCACCCAGCGAUGGGGAGCAGAUCUCGAAAAGCCGUCUCAGUUCGGAUCGGAGUCUGCAACUCGACUCCGUGAAGUUGGAUUCGCUAGUAAUCGCGCAUCAGCCAUGGCGCGGUGAAUACGUUCCCGGGCCUUGUACACACCGCCCGUCAAGCCAUGAAAGCCGGGGGUGCUUGAAGUCCGUGACCGCAAGGAGCGACCUAGGGCAAAACUGGUAAUUGGGGCUA
RNAcentral lists this ribosomal RNA (1455 nucleotides) under uncultured bacterium. Its description in RNAcentral is "bacterial SSU rRNA". It matches the Rfam family "Bacterial small subunit ribosomal RNA". The record is from RNAcentral.